Delphinapterus leucas (beluga whale) is the source of this 1781-nucleotide non-coding RNA. The record is from RefSeq and is a predicted model, not a curated record. NCBI's taxonomy places the organism in Eukaryota, Metazoa, Chordata, Mammalia, Artiodactyla, Monodontidae.
GAAAGAUGAAAAGGGAAGUCUUCAGGUAUCGUGGAGGUGGCUGCCGCAGGAAGUACCUACUGCCCCCAGGCUGAGGAAACAACAGGAAGAAGUUGCAUUAUUAAAGCUUAGAAAUUGAGAGAACAGGCCCCAUGGAACUGAAACUUGGGCCUCUGAAGAAUGGAUGCUACUUGCUGGUGUUGGCGUCUCUGAGCUCAGAGGAGUGUGGGACUCAGACUCGGAGAAGUCCUGUGCCAGCCGAUGUCUUGGAGGCUGACCCAACAAAGCAGGUUCUAAAUGUCCGGAAAACUGCAAACUGGAUUCAGCUACUGCUCUGGGAAGCAACUGUCACUGCUGGAAUGAAGAAGCGUUGCUGGGAUGACAGUCCCACGACCAGGAGGCAGAGAGGAAGAAGCAAGUCUCUUCCUCUUUCGGCCUCACAGCCCCCCUCUGCCUUGCAGCUACGUUGGCACAAACUAGCAUGAGGCCCACUGGCAGAGCAGAGCUGCAGUCUGCAGGAACCCAGUUGCAGGCUAGAGAAGGGUGGGGUUCAAACUGAAAGACAGUUACUUCAUAACUGGCCCAGGAGAUAGGAUAUGGACAUAAGAAGACAUCACUCUAGGAUUCAGCAUGCAUCAACAACGAAUUGAUACUUGGCGGAAAUUCCAUCAGUAGCCAAGAUUUGUUCUGCUGUUUCAUUCCACUUAGAUCAGUGAUCCUAACAGCCACUGGCACCUGCCAUCAGGACAAGCAGAAGCGACCGGAGGAGAGGAGGGUCAGGUCAUCGGAAGUCUCUCAAGACCCUAAGAACAGCUGGGCAGGAUCACAAUCCCCCCUCACUGUCUGCCCGCCCCUCCAGUGCCUCAGACUGUCCCCCAGCACUCUUCUGACCUGGCCAGAUUUAAUUCUUAAGUUGACAUUGCCAUUGCCAGCAUGGAACGUUCUAUCCAGUUAAACCCACAGCAGUUCACGGAAAAGUUGUGGACAAACAAGGCUGAAUGAAGACAUUUCUUCCUGGCAGGUUUUCUUGAGCCUGUUGCCCGAAUUCAUGUCCACCUUUCCUGAAUAGGUAGGGUUGUGGGCUAAUGUGGGAUCAGGGACACAGUGAGCUUACCCAAUAAGAGAAUCAUUCUAGCUGCCCAAAGAUGUUUGAAUGUGAACAUUGUAACAAAUGUGGGCCUUAAUCCAGUCUGUAAGGCAAGAGGAUAAAAUUUUAAGCUAAAAUUAAUGUUUUAAUUCUCUUUUGGGAAACCUGUUAUACGUAAGUCCAGCAUGAAUAAGAUAAAAGAGAGAAAAGGAACUAUUCAGAGUUAAAUAUAAGACAAGAUGACAAUUGAGAAAAAUAAAACCUAUUUUUCACGCAUCCUCUGGUACUCUUUCCUUCCCAUUAGCAUUUUCAGUGCUGUGACUCCACAAAGACAAAUGUAUGGGUAGCUAACACAUUAUUUGGUGGUGGUGGGAGUACUGGGGUAGGGGGCAGGGGGAGUAAGAGCUAAAGUUUUCUCCUGAUUAUAAAAGUAAUAAGAUCUUGCUGUCGUAAUCUAGAAAGUACCAAAAAUGUAACAGGAGGAGAAAAAUAAACUGUCCCUAAUGUUAUCAUUCUGGUAUUUCUCCUUCUAGAUCAUACUGAAUGUACCAUUUUACAUAGCCUUUUUUUCUACACAAAGUAUUUAAAAUGUCUUAUUUGAAAGCUGAUAUUUAAAUCUAUUGUGUGCAUGCCUCAUGUUUUUCUUCUUUGUUCUCAUUGUCAUCCUUCCUUUUUAAAAAUAUUUUAAAACUGUUAUAAAGAACUCUGAAAUGAA